CAUCACACCGCUAAACGCAUCUGAACCCAACAAAUUAUCCACUGCCCCGACUACGCCGCUGCCUUCCUUCCCCACCGCUGUGACGCCUCCCAGCCUCUGCCGCCGCCCCACGCGACGGACGCCAUCUCUCCCCUAUUUCCCUCUUCACCUCCACGGCCACGCCGCGUCGCCGGCCGAGCCCCGCUGCGGUCGCUAUGUUCCGCCGCGCCGCCCCUUAGCCCCACACCUAAGCCGCAGCCGAGAUGCAUCUGAGCGAGAACAAGGGGAUCGAGGACGUGCGGUUCGCGGUGACUGGCGGGCAGGGCUUCGUCAGCGCUGCGCUAUGCCUGGAGCUGAUCCGCCGCGGCGCCCUGCAGGUCUGCUCCCUCGACGACUCGACCUGCGCGAGUCCUCCUCUUGGUCCCAGCAGCUCCUCGACGUCGGCGUCCGCUUCUUCCAAGGUUCUCUCCCGCACUCUCUUUAGCUUAGAUUACUGUGGUUCUUUUCUUCUGUCGCGCGUGAGACUUAAAUGCAGCGUCGCAGCGAAGAAGGUAAUUUGUUUUUCUGUCCAAUGCGUUGAAGCUACAAUGUACGUGCUUAGUAAAUUGUUUAGGGCGGUGUGAGACUUAUAAUGCCUGCCAACUUAGUGAAUUGAUAAACCUGGAAGUUUGUGUUUUUCACUUCACUUGAAUUUGCACAAUUCAGUUAUGUGUUCAUUGAAUGGAUUUGACAUGACAUUUCCUGCAGGCAAUGAGGGAAGUAGAUGGGCAUGGCUGGUCUGUUCGUCAUGCAGUUAUGUGCUAUCUUAUUCCUUGAUGCUGAGUGUGAUUCCAUGCAUGUGCAAGCUAUAUGUACUCUUAAGCUAUUAGUGUUCUCUAACUUAUUUCCUACUAUUCCUGUAUGGUACCAUGUCAGAUUUAGAACCCAGCAAAGAAAUAUGGCAGAAAUUUGCAUAUUAUUUUUUCUUGUGCAGGUUUGAGAUAUAAAUGUCAUACAGAUGCUUCUUUGCCAUGAGUGUGUAAACUUGAUGAGGCAACAUGGUCUUCAAGCACAAGAAAUACCCAUGGACGUGAGUGCGGGCUGCCGCUCCGCCCUCCACUCCUCUGCUUGACCACCGCCGCCGCCAUAUCGAGGCCCUCGCCACCAAGCGGCAUGCUUUCCCGAGGAUCAGCAGCUAAUGGCAAACGUGCUAGCAAGCCCUGAGUGCGGUGGCCCGUGCAACAUGAAGAAGACCAUCCGGACAAAGGGCAGGUACACAAAUAGCUAAGAACACAAGGAGACGUGCAGGUACCUUGAUUUUGUAAGCAAGAUCUCAAGAAAGUAUAUAGGGAGGAGAUUGACAAGGUGCAUGCAAGAUCUCAAGUUCAUUGCUGUCUUUUUCUGUCUGAACAUUUUCUUAUUUGGAGUUGCAGCCGAUUUAUGGUGUACCAACCGACUUGGCUUAGGAUGUAUUGUAGUUGGUUUGGUUGCAUCAACCAACAAGUCUUAUUAUGUAUUGCAGUUGGUUUGGUACCAUCAGCCGACUGGCCGGUUGGAAAACAAGCGGGGAAAACAUGUACUGUGAGCUCCCCUCGCAUUCAGAGUUUGGAGCUUGAUGAAUAAUGAUGUGUGAGCUUGUUGAUGAUCUGCUAUUUUUCACAAAAUUGGGACAUGUCGGAUGGUCGAUGUGAGGUUCUCUAAGUAAAAAAAUUCCUCAUUUGUCCGUUGUGAUAGUCUGAUGGAAUUUUGUUGAUAAGAACCUACAAUUUCUUGGGAAUUCUUGUUGUAAAGAGCGAAGGCAUGGUGUUUGGUUUGCAUGACAUUAUAUCUUCAAUUGGCUGGAGAUAUAUAAAUGUUGUACUUGAUUUUCUCACCUGGCAUCUUAUCACUUCUGUGAAAGACACUUGAUUUUCUCAUAGUAAUGGUUCUUUAUUAUUGUUGAUACAUAAAUGGAUCUUUAUUGAAUGGUACUUGUAUGUGUGUAUGGAGAAUGGUGAUUAACCUUUUAAA
Aegilops tauschii subsp. strangulata is the source of this 1968-nucleotide non-coding RNA. The record is from RefSeq and is a predicted model, not a curated record. Lineage: Eukaryota; Viridiplantae; Streptophyta; Magnoliopsida; Poales; Poaceae.